GGCUGCUCCGCGAGAUCCUGCAAGGUAAGUGAAGUUACUGUUACAUUGAACUUUAUAUAGUUAGGUCUUCACUGGAGCACUGACACUUAGAACAUUUAGGGUUAACGUGAGGGUUAAAAUUAGAGUUAGGAACUAAUUCAGUCUCGCUAUAUUCUUCUUCUGACUUUAACCCUACAAUAAAGGUUAAAAUUAAAGAAACACUCUGGGCAACAUAACAG
Molecule: non-coding RNA, 218 nt
Organism: Pelobates cultripes (western spadefoot toad)
Lineage: Eukaryota; Metazoa; Chordata; Amphibia; Anura; Pelobatidae
Source: the annotation of a GenBank genome assembly